Molecule: transfer RNA, 115 nt
Filed under: Clostridiales bacterium
Lineage: Bacteria; Bacillati; Bacillota; Clostridia; Eubacteriales
Description: tRNA-OTHER
Rfam family: tRNA
About the family: Transfer RNA (tRNA) molecules are approximately 80 nucleotides in length. Their secondary structure includes four short double-helical elements and three loops (D, anti-codon, and T loops). Further hydrogen bonds mediate the characteristic L-shaped molecular structure. tRNAs have two regions of fundamental functional importance: the anti-codon, which is responsible for specific mRNA codon recognition, and the 3' end, to which the tRNAs corresponding amino acid is attached (by aminoacyl-tRNA synthetases). tRNAs cope with the degeneracy of the genetic code in two manners: having more than one tRNA (with a specific anti-codon) for a particular amino acid; and 'wobble' base-pairing, i.e. permitting non-standard base-pairing at the 3rd anti-codon position.
Source: RNAcentral
GGGAGCGUGGCGUAAUGGUAGCGCGCGUAAUAUAGGGGUUAGACAUAAUCCCUAACAGCAACUUUUUAUGUGCAUAGAAAGCCCGAGGUUGCAGGUUCGAAUCCUGCCGCUCCCA